CUCGUAGGCGGCCAACUAAGUCAUACGUGAAAUCCCUCAGCUUAACUGGGGAACUGCGUGUGAUACUGGAUGGCUUGGAUUUGGGAGAGGGAUGCGGAAUUCCAGGUGUAGCGGUGAAAUGCGUAGAUAUCUGGAGGAACACCGGUGGCGAAGGCGGCAUCCUGGACCAAUAUUGACGCUGAGGAGCGAAAGCCAGGGAGCAAACG
This 206-nucleotide ribosomal RNA is filed under the name uncultured bacterium. RNAcentral describes it as "partial 16S ribosomal RNA". It matches the Rfam family "Bacterial small subunit ribosomal RNA", at positions 568 to 774 of the family's 1533-position model. The record is from RNAcentral.